This 253-nucleotide ribosomal RNA is filed under the name uncultured bacterium. RNAcentral's name for it is "partial 16S ribosomal RNA". It matches the Rfam family "Bacterial small subunit ribosomal RNA", at positions 524 to 776 of the family's 1533-position model. The record is from RNAcentral.
UACAGAGGGGGCAAGCGUUGCUCGGAUUUACUGGGCUUAAAGGGCACGUAGGCGGAUGGGUACGCGAGUGGUGAAAUGCCUCGGCUCAACCGAGGAAUGGCUGCCCGACCGGGCCGGCUGGAGGAGGACAGGGGCGACUGGAACUCUGGGUGGAGCGGUGAAAUGCGUAGAUAUCCAGGGGAACGCCGAAGGUGAAGACAGGUCGCUGGGUCCUUCCUGACGCUCAGGUGCGAAAGCUAGGGGAGCGAACGGG